RNAcentral lists this ribosomal RNA (392 nucleotides) under uncultured bacterium. RNAcentral describes it as "partial 16S ribosomal RNA". It matches the Rfam family "Bacterial small subunit ribosomal RNA", at positions 523 to 918 of the family's 1533-position model. The record is from RNAcentral.
AUACGGAGGAUGCGAGCGUUAUCCGGAUUUAUUGGGUUUAAAGGGUGCGCAGGCGGCCAUUUAAGUCAGCGGUUAAAUCGUGGGGCUCAACCCCAUUCUGCCGUUGAUACUGGGUGGCUUGAUUGCGGUCGAGGUUUGCGGAAUUCGUUGUGUAGCGGUGAAAUGCAUAGAUAUGACGAAGAACACCGAUUGCGUAGGCAGCUGACCAGACCGCAAAUGACGCUCAUGCACGAAAGUGCGGGGAUCGAACAGGAUUAGAUACCCUGGUAGUCCGCACAGUAAACGAUGAAUACUUGUUUUCGGCGAUAUAAUGUCGGAGGCAAAGCGAAAGCGAUAAGUAUUCCACCUGGGGAGUACGCCGGCAACGGUGAAACUCAAAGGAAUUGACGGGG